This 405-nucleotide ribosomal RNA is filed under the name uncultured bacterium. RNAcentral's name for it is "bacterial SSU rRNA". It matches the Rfam family "Bacterial small subunit ribosomal RNA", at positions 356 to 773 of the family's 1533-position model. The record is from RNAcentral.
GGGGAAUAUUGCGCAAUGGGCGAAAGCCUGACGCAGCGACGCAGCGUGAGGGACGAAGGCCUUCGGGUUGUAAACCUCUUUCAGCGGGGACGAAGCGAAAGUGACGGUACCCGCAGAAGAAGCACCGGCUAACUACGUGCCAGCAGCCGCGGUAAUACGUAGGGUGCAAGCAUUGUCCGGAUUUAUUGGGCGUAAAGAGCUCGUAGGCGGCUUGUCACGUCGGAUGUGAAAACUCGGGGCUCAACCCCGAGCCUGCAUUCGAUACGGGCUAGCUAGAGUGUUGCAGGGGAGACUGGAAUUCCUGGUGUAGCGGUGAAAUGCGCAGAUAUCAGGAGGAACACCGGUGGCGAAGGCGGGUCUCUGGGCAACUACUGACGCUGAGGAGCGAAAGCGUGGGGAGCGAAC